AUGGAUUUGAGCCAUCAACAGAACAUCACCUGCCAGACCCUUCCAUCCUGUCCUGCACUUCACUCAGCAAUCAAGUCAUUUACAUCCGAAAGCUGCGUCCUUGAUCUCCGUGGCUACCAAACAGUUCAGUGCAAGGAAAUGCCUGGAAGGUGCCUGGUCUUUCCUCUGUGGACAAUCCUGCUGCCCUUGGGAAGUGCAUUUUCUAUGCACCUUUCAUACCUGGGAUCCUCUUUUAGCCUGGAGUCCUCCUCCCAUGAGAACACAACCCAGGUGCUUUUAUACUACCGAGGGAUUGCUUCUCCCUGUUCCAGUACCGAAGAUGGUAUUUGCAAGGCUGUAAACUGCACUUCCAGGCUCCCAGUGGCAGAACUGGAAAAAAACUCCACAGCUCCAUGUCAGCAGGAAGGAGAGGCCAAUCUCUCCUCUACCUCCUCCAAAACCUUCUACUUGAGGUUAGGUCAUAGGACCCCCAUUAACAUGCAUCCAGCAGUAUCAAGAGCAGACAUCUCCAGUUCAGUGACAGGUAAGAUUUUGAUUGCCACCAUAAGAAAUGAGGCAGGGGGGACCCCAA
Molecule: long non-coding RNA, 571 nt
Filed under: Apteryx owenii (little spotted kiwi)
Lineage: Eukaryota; Metazoa; Chordata; Aves; Apterygiformes; Apterygidae
Description: lncRNA (ENSAOWG00000008340.1)
Source: RNAcentral